UACGAAGGGGGCUAGCGUUGCUCGGAAUGACUGGGCGUAAAGGGCGCGUAGGCGGAUGGCACAGUCAGAUGUGAAAUUCCCGGGCUUAACCUGGGGGCUGCAUUUGAUACGUGUUGUCUAGAGUGAGGAAGAGGGUUGUGGAAUUCCCAGUGUAGAGGUGAAAUUCGUAGAUAUUGGGAGGAACACCGGUGGCGAAGGCGGCAACCUGGUCCUUGACUGACGCUGAGGCGCGAAAGCGUGGGGAGCAAACAGG
This 253-nucleotide ribosomal RNA is filed under the name uncultured bacterium. Its description in RNAcentral is "partial 16S ribosomal RNA". It matches the Rfam family "Bacterial small subunit ribosomal RNA", at positions 524 to 776 of the family's 1533-position model. The record is from RNAcentral.